CUACGGGAGACUCCAGUGAGGAAUAUUGCACAAUGGGGGGAACCCUGAUGCAGCAACGCCGCGCGGAGGAUGACGCAUUUCGGUGUGUAAACUCCUUUUAUAUGUCAAGAAAAUGACGGUAGCAUAUGAAUAAGCACCGGCUAACUCCGUGCCAGCAGGCCGCGGUAAUACGGAGGGUGCAAGCGUUACUCGGAAUCACUGGGCGUAAAGGACGCGUAGGCGGGUUGGAAAGUCAGGUGUGAAAUCCUACAGCUUAACUGUAGAACUGCACUUGAAACUUCUAAUCUAGAGUAUGGGAGGGGGAGAUGGAAUUAGUGGUGUAGGGGUAAAAUCCGUAGAUAUCACUAGGAAUACCUAAAGCGAAGGCGAUCUCCUGGAACAUUACUGACGCUAAGGCGUGAAAGCGUGGGGAGCAAACAGGAUUAGAUACCCCGGUAGUC
Molecule: ribosomal RNA, 440 nt
Filed under: uncultured bacterium
Lineage: Bacteria
Description: partial 16S ribosomal RNA
Rfam family: Bacterial small subunit ribosomal RNA
Source: RNAcentral